RNAcentral lists this ribosomal RNA (254 nucleotides) under uncultured bacterium. RNAcentral describes it as "partial 16S ribosomal RNA". It matches the Rfam family "Bacterial small subunit ribosomal RNA", at positions 524 to 776 of the family's 1533-position model. The record is from RNAcentral.
UACGGGGGAUGCAAGCGUUAUCCGGAUUUAUUGGGUUUAAAGGGUGCGUAGGCUGUGAGGUAAGUCAGCGGUGAAAUGCCCCCGCUCAACGGGGUGAAGUGCCAUUGAUACUGCCUUGCUGGAAUGCGGAUGCCGUGGGAGGAAUGUGUGGUGUAGCGGUGAAAUGCAUAGAUAUCACACAGAACACCGAUUGCGAAGGCAUCUCACGAAUCCGCUAGUGACGCUGAUGCACGAAAGCGUGGGUAUCAAACAGG